RNAcentral lists this ribosomal RNA (789 nucleotides) under uncultured bacterium. RNAcentral describes it as "bacterial SSU rRNA". It matches the Rfam family "Bacterial small subunit ribosomal RNA", at positions 26 to 872 of the family's 1533-position model. The record is from RNAcentral.
AGAACGAACGCUGGCGGCAGGCCUAACACAUGCAAGUCGAACGAUACAGUGGCAGACGGGUGAGUAACGCGUGGGAACGUACCUUUCACUACGGAAUAGCUCCGGGAAACUGGUGGUAAUACCGUAUACGCCCUCAGGGGGAAAGAUUUAUCGGUGAAAGAUCGGCCCGCGUUGGAUUAGCUAGUUGGUGAGGUAAUGGCUCACAAAGGCGACGAUCCAUAGCUGGUCUGAGAGGAUGAUCAGCCACAUUGGGACUGAGACACGGCCCAAACUCCUACGGGAGGCAGCAGUGGGGAAUCUUGCACAAUGGGCGAAAGCCUGAUGCAGCCAUGCCGCGUGAAUGAUGAAGGCCUUAGGGUUGUAAAAUUCUUUCGUCAGGGAUGAUAAUGACCGUACCUGAAGAAGAAGCCCCGGCUAACUUCGUGCCAGCAGCCGCGGUAAUACGAAGGGGGCUAGCGUUGUUCGGAAUUACUGGGCGUAAAGCGCACGUAGGCGGACUUUUAAGUCAGGUGUGAAAUCCCGGGGCUCAACCUCGGAACUGCAUUUGAAACUGGGAGUCUUGAGACCAGGAGAGGUUAGCGGAAUACCGAGUGUAGAGGUGAAAUUCGUAGAUAUUCGGUGGAACACCAGUGGCGAAGGCGGCUAACUGGACUGGUACUGACGCUGAGGUGCGAAAGUGUGGGGAGCAAACAGGAUUAGAUACCCUGGUAGUCCACACCGUAAACGAUGAGAGCUAGUUGUUGGCAGGCAUGCCUGUCGGUGACGCAGCUAACGCAUUAAGCUCUCCGC